GAAGGUCACGGCGAGACGAGCCGUUUAUCAUAUUACUCAAUUGAUCAUUACGUUUAUCAUUACGAUAGGUGUUAAGUGGAAGUGCAGUGAUGUAUGCAGCUGAGGCAUCCUAACAGACCGUUAGACUUGAAC
This 132-nucleotide ribosomal RNA is filed under the name Pelargonium x hortorum (zonal geranium). Its description in RNAcentral is "4.5S ribosomal RNA". Lineage: Eukaryota; Viridiplantae; Streptophyta; Magnoliopsida; Geraniales; Geraniaceae. The record is from RNAcentral.